Molecule: transfer RNA, 72 nt
Filed under: Camelus bactrianus (Bactrian camel)
Lineage: Eukaryota; Metazoa; Chordata; Mammalia; Artiodactyla; Camelidae
Also listed under: 2 other names
Rfam family: tRNA
About the family: Transfer RNA (tRNA) molecules are approximately 80 nucleotides in length. Their secondary structure includes four short double-helical elements and three loops (D, anti-codon, and T loops).
Source: Rfam by way of RNAcentral
GAGGGUAUGGCUUAGCGGUAGAGUGCUUGCUUAGCAUGCACAAGAUCCUGGGUUCAAUCCCCAGCACCUCCA